RNAcentral lists this ribosomal RNA (253 nucleotides) under uncultured bacterium. Its description in RNAcentral is "partial 16S ribosomal RNA". It matches the Rfam family "Bacterial small subunit ribosomal RNA", at positions 524 to 776 of the family's 1533-position model. The record is from RNAcentral.
UACGUAGGGUGCAAGCGUUACUCGGAAUUACUGGGCGUAAAGGGUGCGUAGGCGGUUCUGCAAGUCAGAUGUGAAAGCCCUGGGCUUAACCUGGGAAUGGCAUUUGAAACUACGGAACUAGAGUGUAGCAGAGGGAGGUGGAAUUCCACGUGUAGCAGUGAAAUGCGUAGAGAUGUGGAGGAACACCGAUGGCGAAGGCAGCCUCCUGGGCUAACACUGACACUCAGGCACGAAAGCGUGGGGAGCAAACAGG